UUUUAUGGAGAGUUUGAUCCUGGCUCAGAGUGAACGCUGGCGGCGUGCCUAAUACAUGCAAGUCGAACGAUGAAGCUUCUAGCUUGCUAGAAUGCUGAUUAGUGGCGCACGGGUGAGUAACGCAUAGGUCAUGCGCCUCUUAGUUUGGGAUAGCCAUUGGAAACGAUGAUUAAUACCAGAUACUCCCUACGGGGGAAAGAUUUAUCGCUAAGAGAUCAGCCUAUGUCCUAUCAGCUUGUUGGUAAGGUAAUGGCUUACCAAGGCUAUGACGGGUAUCCGGCCUGAGAGGGUGAACGGACACACUGGAACUGAGACACGGUCCAGACUCCUACGGGAGGCAGCAGUAGGGAAUAUUGCUCAAUGGGGGAAACCCUGAAGCAGCAACGCCGCGUGGAGGAUGAAGGUUUUAGGAUUGUAAACUCCUUUUGUUAGAGAAGAUAAUGACGGUAUCUAACGAAUAAGCACCGGCUAACUCCGUGCCAGCAGCCGCGGUAAUACGGAGGGUGCAAGCGUUACUCGGAAUCACUGGGCGUAAAGAGCGCGUAGGCGGGAUAGUCAGUCAGGUGUGAAAUCCUAUGGCUUAACCAUAGAACUGCAUUUGAAACUACUAUUCUAGAGUGUGGGAGAGGUAGGUGGAAUUCUUGGUGUAGGGGUAAAAUCCGUAGAGAUCAAGAGGAAUACUCAUUGCGAAGGCGACCUGCUGGAACAUUACUGACGCUGAUUGCGCGAAAGCGUGGGGAGCAAACAGGAUUAGAUACCCUGGUAGUCCACGCCCUAAACGAUGGAUGCUAGUUGUUGGAGGGCUUAGUCUCUCCAGUAAUGCAGCUAACGCAUUAAGCAUCCCGCCUGGGGAGUACGGUCGCAAGAUUAAAACUCAAAGGAAUAGACGGGGACCCGCACAAGCGGUGGAGCAUGUGGUUUAAUUCGAAGAUACACGAAGAACCUUACCUAGGCUUGACAUUGAGAGAAUCCGCUAGAAAUAGUGGAGUGUCUAGCUUGCUAGACCUUGAAAACAGGUGCUGCACGGCUGUCGUCAGCUCGUGUCGUGAGAUGUUGGGUUAAGUCCCGCAACGAGCGCAACCCCCUUUCUUAGUUGCUAACAGGUUAUGCUGAGAACUCUAAGGAUACUGCCUCCGUAAGGAGGAGGAAGGUGGGGACGACGUCAAGUCAUCAUGGCCCUUACGCCUAGGGCUACACACGUGCUACAAUGGGGUGCACAAAGAGAAGCAAUACUGCGAAGUGGAGCCAAUCUUCAAAACGCCUCUCAGUUCGGAUUGUAGGCUGCAACUCGCCUGCAUGAAGCUGGAAUCGCUAGUAAUCGCAAAUCAGCCAUGUUGCGGUGAAUACGUUCCCGGGUCUUGUACUCACCGCCCGUCACACCAUGGGAGUUGUGUUUGCCUUAAGUCAGGAUGCUAAAUUAGCUACUGCCCACGGCACACACAGCGACUGGGGUGAAGUCGUAACAAGGUAACCGUAGGUGAACCUGCGGUUGGAUCACCUCCUUUCUAGA
Molecule: ribosomal RNA, 1510 nt
Filed under: Helicobacter pylori
Lineage: Bacteria; Pseudomonadati; Campylobacterota; Epsilonproteobacteria; Campylobacterales; Helicobacteraceae
Description: bacterial SSU rRNA
Rfam family: Bacterial small subunit ribosomal RNA
Source: RNAcentral